Molecule: long non-coding RNA, 313 nt
Organism: Dromiciops gliroides (monito del monte)
Lineage: Eukaryota; Metazoa; Chordata; Mammalia; Microbiotheria; Microbiotheriidae
Exons: 3
Source: RefSeq, a predicted model, not a curated record
AUUCACUUUCGCCUAAAUUGGCGCUCGUGGCUUGCUUGCGACGACCACGCCGCUGCAGGGAUGAAGCUAGUGAGGAGUGGAUGUCAGUAUGAACACGCAUCUUAAAGCUGUUAAAGUAACCCUGAAAAACAGAGAACCUAUACAAUUGGAAACACUGAGUAUUCCACAUUUGAUACUUAAUUUUGCCAGAUAGUUUACCUCUGGAUACACUACUUGUAGAUGUUGAACAUAAAGUUAAAUCUAAGAAGAGGGAAACAGAGCACCCAUGUGUAAGGGUAUGACUCCCCACAUGGACAGAGGGACAAGAAGGGAG